RNAcentral lists this unclassified non-coding RNA (296 nucleotides) under Hevea brasiliensis (rubber tree). The record is from RNAcentral. Lineage: Eukaryota; Viridiplantae; Streptophyta; Magnoliopsida; Malpighiales; Euphorbiaceae.
GCCGUUUCUGGGAACUGGUACUCUGUUGCUCCCCAUCAGACACAAUUUCUUCUUCCUCAUCAUCUGAGGGAGGGAGAUCAAUGCCAUCAGUGUAAGCUGCAACUUUUUUUGGAGCCUUUGCUUGAGGUUUAGCACCACCACUCAAAGAUGAAGAUCCCUUUUUCGGUUUAUCUGAUUUCUGAUCCAUAUUGGCAAGCAUUUCUGACACCGAAAGCUUCUCUCUCUUCCCAGAAGCAUCUUUGCCAGGCUUGACUUUGGCAUUUCCACCACCUUCUUCUGUUUUCUUCCUUCCCAUU